UACGUAGGGUGCAAGCGUUGUCCGGAAUUAUUGGGCGUAAAGAGCUUGUAGGCGGUUUGUCGCGUCUGCUGUGAAAAUCCGGGGCUCAACCCCGGACUUGCAGUGGGUACGGGCAGACUAGAGUGUGGUAGGGGAGACUGGAAUUCCUGGUGUAGCGGUGAAAUGCGCAGAUAUCAGGAGGAACACCGAUGGCGAAGGCAGGUCUCUGGGGCCACUACUGACGCUGGAGAAGCGGAAAAGCAUGGGGAGCGAACAGG
This 257-nucleotide ribosomal RNA is filed under the name uncultured bacterium. RNAcentral describes it as "partial 16S ribosomal RNA". It matches the Rfam family "Bacterial small subunit ribosomal RNA", at positions 524 to 776 of the family's 1533-position model. The record is from RNAcentral.